GUCGUCGGGCCUCUCGAAGAAGCUCGGUCCUGAACUCCACCCUUGAAUAAAUUACCUUUGUUGCUUUGGCGGGCCGCCUCGUGCCAGCGGCUUCGGCUGUUGAGUGCCCGCCAGAGGACCACAACUCUUGUUUUUAGUGAUGUCUGAGUACUAUAUAAUAGUUAAAACUUUCAACAACGGAUCUCUUGGUUCUGGCAUCGAUGAAGAACGCAGCGAAAUGCGAUAAGUAAUGUGAAUUGCAGAAUUCAGUGAAUCAUCGAAUCUUUGAACGCACAUUGCGCCCUCUGGUAUUCCGGGGGGCAUGCCUGUUCGAGCGUCAUUAUAACCACUCAAGCUCUCGCUUGGUAUUGGGGUUCGCGGUUUCGCGGCCCCUAAAAUCAGUGGCGGUGCCUGUCGGCUCUACGCGUAGUAAUACUCCUCGCGAUUGAGUCCGGUAGGUCUACUUGCCAGCAACCCCCAAUUUUUACAGGUUGACCUCGGAUCAGGUAGGGAUACCCGCUGAACUUAAGCAUAUCA
This 516-nucleotide ribosomal RNA is filed under the name Rhexocercosporidium sp. CS2. RNAcentral's name for it is "eukaryotic LSU rRNA". The stretch from base 166 to 319 matches the Rfam family "5.8S ribosomal RNA". Lineage: Eukaryota; Fungi; Ascomycota; Leotiomycetes; Helotiales. The record is from RNAcentral.